RNAcentral lists this transfer RNA (76 nucleotides) under Holosporaceae bacterium. Its description in RNAcentral is "tRNA-Ala". It matches the Rfam family "tRNA". From Rfam's summary of the family: Transfer RNA (tRNA) molecules are approximately 80 nucleotides in length. Lineage: Bacteria; Pseudomonadati; Pseudomonadota; Alphaproteobacteria; Holosporales; Holosporaceae. The record is from RNAcentral.
GGGGCUAUAGCUCAGCUGGGAGAGCGCUACAAUGGCAUUGUAGAGGUCAGCAGUUCGAUCCCGCUUAGCUCCACCA